RNAcentral lists this ribosomal RNA (445 nucleotides) under uncultured bacterium. Its description in RNAcentral is "partial 16S ribosomal RNA". It matches the Rfam family "Bacterial small subunit ribosomal RNA", at positions 354 to 796 of the family's 1533-position model. The record is from RNAcentral.
GUGAGGAAUAUUGGUCAAUGGGCGAGAGCCUGAACCAGCCAAGUAGCGUGCAGGAUGACGGCCCUAUGGGUUGUAAACUGCUUUUACACGGGGAUAAAGUGUGCGACGUGUCGUUCAUUGCAGGUACCGUGCGAAUAAGGACCGGCUAAUUCCGUGCCAGCAGCCGCGGUAAUACGGAAGGUCCGGGCGUUAUCCGGAUUUAUUGGGUUUAAAGGGAGCGUAGGCCGUCUGUUAAGCGUGUUGUGAAAUGUAGAUGCUCAACAUCUGAAUUGCAGCGCGAACUGACCGACUUGAGUGCGCAGGAAGUAGGCGGAAUUCGUGGUGUAGCGGUGAAAUGCUUAGAUAUGGCACAGAACACCAAUUGCGAAGGCAGCUCACUAAGGCGAUACUGACGCUGAGGCACGAAAGCGUGGGGAUCGAACAGGAUUAGAAACCCCAGUAGUCC